UACGUAGGGGGCUAGCGUUGUCCGGAAUCAUUGGGCGUAAAGCGCGUGUAGGCGGUCCGGUAAGUCCGCUGUGAAAGUCGGGGGCUCAACCCUCGAAAGCCGGUGGAUACUGUUGGGCUAGAGUACGGAAGAGGCGAGUGGAAUUCCUGGUGUAGCGGUGAAAUGCGCAGAUAUCAGGAGGAACACCAAUUGCGAAGGCAGCUCGCUGGGACGUUACUGACGCUGAGACGCGAAAGCGUGGGGAGCAAACAGG
Molecule: ribosomal RNA, 253 nt
Filed under: uncultured bacterium
Lineage: Bacteria
Description: partial 16S ribosomal RNA
Rfam family: Bacterial small subunit ribosomal RNA
Source: RNAcentral